GGAAGGGGUGUAUUUAUUAGAUAAAAAACCAAUGCCCUUCGGGGCUCCUUGGUGAAUCAUAAUAACUUAACGAAUCGCAUGGCCUUGCGCCGGCGAUGGUUCAUUCAAAUUUCUGCCCUAUCAACUUUCGAUGGUAGGAUAGUGGCCUACCAUGGUGGCAACGGGUAACGGGGAAUUAGGGUUCGAUUCCGGAGAGGGGGCCUGAGAAACGGCUACCACAUCCAGGAAGGCAGCAGGCGCGCAAAUUACCCAAUCCCGACACGGGGAGGUAGUGACAAUAAAUACUGAUACGGGGCUCUUUUGGGUCUCGUAAUUGGAAUGAGUACAAUCUAAAUCCCUUAACGAGGAACAAUUGGAGGGCAAGUCUGGUGCCAGCAGCCGCGGUAAUUCCAGCUCCAAUAGCGUAUAUUAAAGUUGUUGCAGUUAAAAAGCUCGUAGUUGAACCUUGGGUCUGGCUGGCCGGUCCGCCUCACCGCGAGUACUGGUCCGGCUGGACCUUUCCUUCUGGGGAAUCUCAUGGCCUUCACUGGCUGUGGGGGGAACCAGGACUUUUAC
RNAcentral lists this ribosomal RNA (555 nucleotides) under uncultured Aspergillus. RNAcentral describes it as "SSU rRNA". It matches the Rfam family "Eukaryotic small subunit ribosomal RNA", at positions 194 to 755 of the family's 1831-position model. The record is from RNAcentral. Lineage: Eukaryota; Fungi; Ascomycota; Eurotiomycetes; Eurotiales; Aspergillaceae.